CCUACGGGAGGCAGCAGUGAGGAAUAUUGGUCAAUGGACGAGAGUCUGAACCAGCCAAGUAGCGUGAAGGAUGACUGCCCUAUGGGUUGUAAACUUCUUUUAUAUGGGAAUAAAAUGUUCCACGUGUGGGAUUUUGUAUGUACCAUAUGAAUAAGGAUCGGCUAACUCCGUGCCAGCAGCCGCGGUAAUACGGAGGAUCCGAGCGUUAUCCGGAUUUAUUGGGUUUAAAGGGAGCGUAGGUGGAUUGUUAAGUCAGUUGUGAAAGUUUGCGGCUCAACCGUAAAAUUGCAGUUGAAACUGGCAGUCUUGGGUACAGUAGAGGUGGGCGGAAUGCGUGGUGUAGCGGUGAAAUGCUUAGAUAUCACGAAGAACUCCGAUUGCGAAGGCAGUUCACUGGACUGCAACUGACACUGAGGCUCGAAAGUGUGGGUAUCAAACAGGAUUAGAUACCCCGGUAGUC
Molecule: ribosomal RNA, 460 nt
Filed under: uncultured bacterium
Lineage: Bacteria
Description: partial 16S ribosomal RNA
Rfam family: Bacterial small subunit ribosomal RNA
Source: RNAcentral